UCCGGUUUGACACCGGCAGUCUCCCGUGAGUCCCCAACCUCCGAAGAGUUGCUGGCAACACGAGACAAGGGUUGCGCUCGUUGCGGGACUUAACCCAACAUCUCACGACACGAGCUGACGACAGCCAUGCACCACCUGUACACCGACCACAAGGGGGACCCUGUCUCCAGGGUUUUCCGGUAUAUGUCAAGCCUUGGUAAGGUUCUUCGCGUUGCAUCGAAUUAAUCCGCAUGCUCCGCCGCUUGUGCGGGCCCCCGUCGAUUCCUUUGAGUUUUAGCCUUGCGGCCGUACUUCCCAGGCGGGGCACUUAAUGCGUUAGCUACGGCACGGAGCCCGUCGAUCGAGCCCCACACCUAGUGCCCAACGUUUACGGCGUGGACUAC
This 383-nucleotide unclassified non-coding RNA is filed under the name uncultured Actinomycetes bacterium. Its description in RNAcentral is "uncultured actinobacterium contains 16S-23S intergenic spacer region". The record is from RNAcentral. Lineage: Bacteria; Bacillati; Actinomycetota; Actinomycetes.